This 441-nucleotide long non-coding RNA is filed under the name Phasianus colchicus (ring-necked pheasant). Its description in RNAcentral is "lncRNA (ENSPCLG00000010772.1)". Lineage: Eukaryota; Metazoa; Chordata; Aves; Galliformes; Phasianidae. The record is from RNAcentral.
AUGGAAACCACAUGUGUUUUGCUCCCAAGCAGAACACAUUCCUCCCUUUGGGUUUCAUUAAAAGAAUUCUCUCCGUGUGACACAUGGCUUGCUAGGUUCAUCAGGAAUAAGCGGCUGUCUUACUGCUCCAGCCAGCCAUUGCAGCAACUCACACGUGGGCACCAGCUCUGUGAAAAUCCUGCCUGGACCCCAGACAAAGCAGCAGUGGACAUAACAGCAUCAGAGCCUGAGCAGUUAUGCAACUUCUGUGAGCCUCUGACAGCAGCCCCAUCUCCACAGAAAGGCUUCAGCCACUUCCUUUCUUCCUGAAAGCAUAUACCAAUGCUGAGUUUAAGAAGCAGGGACACACAAUGCUCUUGCUCUGUUGCCAUCAGCAGAGCCACUCACAAUGGUUGUGGCAGGAAGCGUCCAUCAUAGACUCACCGUUGUGUCAAAGGGAAA